RNAcentral lists this microRNA precursor (91 nucleotides) under Canis lupus familiaris (dog). Its description in RNAcentral is "mir-8799 microRNA precursor family". It matches the Rfam family "mir-8799 microRNA precursor family". The record is from Rfam by way of RNAcentral. RNAcentral also lists the same sequence under 1 other name. Lineage: Eukaryota; Metazoa; Chordata; Mammalia; Carnivora; Canidae.
AGGGGGGCGCCAGAUCCUGGGCUGUGUCCCCCGGCGCCCUGGGCUCCGGGGCCUGCGCCGCUGGAAUCGCUCCCGGGCAGCGCAGCCCCCU